RNAcentral lists this ribosomal RNA (375 nucleotides) under Nauphoeta cinerea (gray cockroach). RNAcentral's name for it is "partial 16S ribosomal RNA". Lineage: Eukaryota; Metazoa; Arthropoda; Insecta; Blattodea; Blaberidae. The record is from RNAcentral.
CUCUUCUUGAUAUUUUUAAGAAGUAAUACCUGCCCAAUGAUAAUAUUUAAUGGCCGCGGUAUUUUGACCGUGCAAAGGUAGCAUAAUCAUUAGUCUUUUAAUUGAAGGCUGGAAUGAAUGGUUAGACGAGAUAAAUACUAUCUUAUUGGUAAUGAAUUGAAUUUAAUUAUUAGGUAAAAAAGCUUAAAUAAUUUUAUGGGACGAGAAGACCCUAUAGAGUUUAAUACUUAUUUAUUUAAUUUUGUGGGAAAAUUUUAUUAUAAUUGGUAAGUAUUUUGUUGGGGUGAUGGAAAGAUAAUUGUAACUCUUUUUUGAAUAUAAAUACUUAUGUGUAUGUUCUUGAUCCACUAAUAGUGAUUAUAAGACUAAAUUACC